GGGAAUCUACCCUGAACUGCGGAAUAGCUCCGGGAAACUGGAAUUAAUACCGCAUGUGCCCUGAGGGGCAAAGAUUUAUCGGUUCAGGAUGAGCCCGCGUCGGAUUAGCUAGUUGGUGGGGUAAUGGCCUACCAAGGCGACGAUCCGUAGCUGGUCUAAGAGGAUGAUCAGCCACAUUGGGACUGAGACACGGCCCAAACUCCUACGGGAGGCAGCAGUGGGGAAUAUUGGACAAUGGGCGCAAGCCUGAUCCAGCCAUGCCGCGUGAGUGAUGAAGGCCCUAGGGUUGUAAAGCUCUUUCAGUGGGGACGAUAAUGACGGUACCCACAGAAUAAGCUCCGGCUAACUCCGUGCCAGCAGCCGCGGUAAUACGGAGGGAGCUAGCGUUGUUCGGAAUUACUGGGCGUAAAGCGCACGUAGGCGGCUUUGUAAGUUAGAGGUGAAAGCCUGGAGCUCAACUCCAGAAUUGCCUUUAAGACUGCAUCGCUUGAAUCCAGGAGAGGUGAGUGGAAUUCCGAGU
RNAcentral lists this ribosomal RNA (520 nucleotides) under uncultured bacterium. RNAcentral's name for it is "bacterial SSU rRNA". It matches the Rfam family "Bacterial small subunit ribosomal RNA", at positions 120 to 674 of the family's 1533-position model. The record is from RNAcentral.